Molecule: unclassified non-coding RNA, 177 nt
Filed under: soil metagenome
Description: partial internal transcribed spacer 1
Source: RNAcentral
AAGUAUUCUUCGGUGCAGCCAGCGCUUCCACAGCGCGGCAGCCCAAACCUUACACACUGUGAUUAGUUUUUGUUACUAUUUACUUUGGCUGCGGCAAGUGGCCAAAGGUCUUAAACACAAAGAUUUAUAUCUUUUUUUACAAAAUUUAGUCAAUGAAGUUUUAAUACUAUAAUCUUC